Xyrichtys novacula (pearly razorfish) is the source of this 2741-nucleotide non-coding RNA. The record is from the annotation of a GenBank genome assembly. NCBI's taxonomy places the organism in Eukaryota, Metazoa, Chordata, Actinopteri, Labriformes, Labridae.
GAGAAGUUGUCCCUCGUGAGCAUCUGCACAAACGAGGAUUUAUCUAACGGGACGCCAUGCGCCAGCUGUUUUCUCAAAUUGAGUUGGACUAAUUUUUCUCACAGAGCUGCAGCUCAGGAGGAUGAAAUGCCACCAUCCGGCCCGCUGACCCAGUGUCGGGCCAAAGCCUGGUACUUUUCCAUCAGGCAGCUGAACAAAUGGAAAGGGCCUCUGAGCUGCCAGUCUUAUCAAGAGGAAUCUUUUUUUUUUCCGUCCCUCCUACUUCUCCUUGAGCUUUUGUCCGCAACAUUAAAGGAGGGGCCGUGGGGGACCGAAAAAAGUCAGAGUGCAAGAAUGUUAUUGUUUCCGGAGCUGCAGAUGACACGCUUCUUAGCAAGAGAGGGAGGAUCUGCCGAGCUGAGGGGACCAACACUUUGUCUGAACGACAGCCACCUGCGUCGGCCCCGCCACUUUCCUGUCAAGAUUAUAUUUUUGGAUUUGACCUUUGACCUUUUAAACUGAGCAAAAACUUGAGAUGACGAAGCAGAAAACUGAUGAGGGAAUAAAAGCAGGAAUUCUGAAAAGGUUAGCACAAAAUCAAAGCCGUCCAUACGUAUGAUCGUGUUACAACUGAGAGUUUCACCCAAGGACAGGCUUCGUGUCCUCUAUCUGUGGAAUGUGAACUCUGUGACCUCCACCCAACUACACCUUUCCCCUGUAUCUAUGUGUGUGUGUGUGUGUGUGUGUGUGUGUGUGUGUGUUACAUACAUGCAGUGUCGAUAGAAUGACAUAUGACAUGCACGGCCCUUUUCACCUCCCACAGUUGUCACCGCGAGCACACGUGUGUCAACAUGGCAGCGAAAAAGAUCCCUGAGAGGAAGGCCCACACGCACACACACACAGGCACACACACAUCUUAACAAACAAGCUCAAAAACACACACCUAUACAUACAAAGCACACAGCUACACAAACAUGAAAAACAUCCAAGAGCACCGACAGACAGAGGGGGAAGCAGAGCGAAAGAUAAAACGACCGUCAGUGAAAAUUAUGUCAAAAACAAGUCCUGAAAAUGCAAAUUAGAAACUUCAGAAUAACUUUGGAUAAAUCGCUGUCGUUUAGGUGUUGUUAGUUGCAUCGUUAAUCAGGUUGCUACGGUUGCUCUGAAGGUCAAUUGCAAGUGAAAAAAAAAAAUCAUAAACCACAAAAAUAGUUCACUAUUUAUUUCUUGCAUUUGACAUGAUCAGGCGUUAAGUGUCUGCUUUUUUUUUGUUUUGGCUAAGAUACUUCUACUGACAGGAAAUGAUGUCCGUUGUGUCCUUGGGCAAGACACUUAACCCACCUUGCUCCCAGUGUGUGUCCUCCACUGGUGCAUGAUUGUGAGUGUUGUGUGGUGGUGGUCGGAGAGGCCGUAGGCGCAGAAUGGCAGCCACGUUUCCACCACCACCAAAGUGUGACUGUGUGAGCGAAUGAAUGAUGUAUCCAAUGUAAAGCGCUUUGAGGGUCUCUGAUAAAAGCGCUAUAUGAAAUCUGAUGCAUUAUUAUUAUUAUUAUACCUGUUACGCUUGAGUGUAGUCCAAUCACAAUCAAGUAGGAGGGUCCAACCCUUGCCACUUUAAGAGACGUUCUCUGUAGCUAAAUAUUUCCCCAUCAGAUGGUAUUUUUUAUUCAUUUUUUUUCUAAAUUAUUUUUGUUAUUAAAAUGCAUCUUUUAUUUAAUCAUUAUAUAAUUUAUUGAUGCUCUGUAAAUAUAUUUUUUGCAUUUCAUAAAUAUCUUUUUAAAUUUAUAAAUUUUUUUUGGUCAUUCCUUCCUUCACAAUUGGUGCCGUUGACCUUCAGGGCCACCGUAGAGUUUAAUACAGCCCCAUUUUCCAGAAAGUUAGGAUGUAGUUUUUAAUGUUGGCAGAAAUAGAUUUGACUGGUUUGUAAAUCAUUUAAACUUUAUUUAUCGCUGAAUAUAAUGAGACAGCUCUUUAAAAACUGAGAGAAAUGUUUUACUUUUAGUUUUAUGUAAAAUGUAUUCAUCGCCAAACAAAGUGAAACCCGAACAACAAGUAUGAUCCAUAACACUGGCGAGCUCUCUCUCUCUGCGGCUGAACCCUUUCAGGCUCGGCUGGUGAAGUGGAAAACCGUCCUGUGACGUCCUCUUUGGAAAUCAUGGACACAGAAUCCUCCACUAAAAUGAGAAGAGGGACCACCCAGCUAGUUAUGAGCACAACUGUGAUGGUUUUGGGAUGCAGAAGAUCCAACAGCAUGGCUAUUCUCCAGACAGAGAAGGCUUCACUAAUGCUGAUCUGUAGAUUAAGGUUUUUGAGCAACAUUCGCGUCCAGCAAGACAAUACCAAGACCACAUACAUUCUACCCGCCUCACAACAGUAUGUCUUAAUGGAUAGAAGAGUUCAGACGCCCAUUUUUAUAUUCAGAUGAUUGUAAACAUACUUAUGGAUAUUGUUCUCCAUUUCCACCAAGUCUGAUCUGCAAAAUACCACAAAUAUCACACAAGCAAGAUAGUAAAACCUAAUUUUUCCACCAGAGUGCGCUGCUGUUCUAAAAAGGGAAUAAAGGAUGCACUGAAUUCUUGCAUUGAGUGGUUGAGUGGAAGUAAAAAAUCUUACUUUGUCGUUUUAAAUCACAUAUGCAUGAAAUUUGUGUAGAUUGUCCUUAAACACAUUGGAAAGUAAUAAAAUAAGAUCUGAGUGCUUGUUGUGUCUAAUGUUUACGGAGGAGGAUUAGGGCCACCAAAAAAAAAAAAAAAAAAAGUCCA